Molecule: ribosomal RNA, 776 nt
Filed under: uncultured Neocallimastigales
Lineage: Eukaryota; Fungi; Neocallimastigomycota; Neocallimastigomycetes; Neocallimastigales
Description: partial large subunit ribosomal RNA
Rfam family: Eukaryotic large subunit ribosomal RNA
Source: RNAcentral
UACUAGAGUAGCACUCGCAUAUCAAUAAGCGGAGGAAAAGAAACUAACAAGGAUUCCCCUAGUAACGGCGAGUGAAGCGGGAAGAGCUCAAAUUUGAAAUCUUAAGGGGUUUCCCUUUACGAAUUGUAGUUUAAAGAAGUGUUUUCUGUUGAGGUUUUGGUAAAAGUUCUUUGGAAUAGGACAUCAUAGAGGGUGAGAAUCCCGUAUUUGACCUUUACUUUCAACUUUGUGAUACACUUUCAAAGAGUCGGAUUGUUUGGGAAUGCAGUCCAAAAUGGGUGGUAAAUUUCAUCUAAAGCUAAAUAUUGGCGAGAGACCGAUAGCGAACAAGUACCGUGAGGGAAAGAUGAAAAGAACUUUGAAAAGAGAGUUAAACAGUACGUGAAAUUGUCAAAAGGGGAAGCGUUUGACACCAGUGUUGUUUUUCCUGAAAAUCAAUUAAAGAACUGUUUAUGCUAAGCUGUUUAGACUUUAUCAGCUAACUGUUUAGUUUUGAGCUUUUCUUUAAUGCACUUUUCAGUUAACAAGUCAACAUCAAUUUCUUUUGCUGUAAAAAAGCUUGAGGAAGGUGGCUUGAGAUUCGUCUUAAGUGUUUAUAGCCUCUUGCCUAUGCAGUCGGAGAGAUUGAGGUCUGCAGCGUAGAUCCUUCGGGGCUAAAUGCAUUUGUGCUAAGUUAUAGCAUUUUAUAGACAACUUGUUGACUAUGAUUUGUCUUGUAGCUUACUCGCUUAUGUUAUUUUACCUACGCUUAGGAUGUUGAGUCAUCACACAUCUCU